Molecule: ribosomal RNA, 502 nt
Filed under: uncultured bacterium
Lineage: Bacteria
Description: partial 16S ribosomal RNA
Rfam family: Bacterial small subunit ribosomal RNA
Source: RNAcentral
GAUGAACGCUGGCGGAAUGCUUUACACAUGCAAGUCGAACGGCAGCACGGGUGCUUGCACCUGGUGGCGAGUGGCGAACGGGUGAGUAAUAUAUCGGAACGUAUCCAAUAAUGGGGGAUAACUAGCCGAAAGGUUAGCUAAUACCGCAUACGCCCUGAGGGGGAAAGCUGGGGAUCGUAAGACCUAGCGUUGAUGGAGCGGCCGAUAUCUGAUUAGCUAGUUGGUGGGGUAAGAGCCUACCAAGGCGACGAUCAGUAGCUGGUCUGAGAGGACGACCAGCCACACUGGAACUGAGACACGGUCCAGACUCCUACGGGAGGCAGCAGUGGGGAAUUUUGGACAAUGGGGGCAACCCUGAUCCAGCCAUUCCGCGUGAGUGAAGAAGGCCUUCGGGUUGUAAAGCUCUUUCGCAAGGGAAGAAAACUCGAUCUCUAAUAUAGGUUGAGGCUGACGGUACCUUGAUAAGAAGCACCGGCUAACUACGUGACAGCAGCCGCCGUAA